CAGUCGCCACGGUAAUACGGAGGGAGCUAGCGUUGUUCGGAAUUACUGGGCGUAAAGCGCGCGUAGGCGGUUACUCAAGUCAGAGGUGAAAGCCCGGGGCUCAACCCCGGAACUGCCUUUGAAACUAGGUGACUAGAAUCUUGGAGAGGUCAGUGGAAUUCCGAGUGUAGAGGUGAAAUUCGUAGAUAUUCGGAAGAACACCAGUGGCGAAGGCGACAUACUGGAUCAUUACUGACGCUGAGGCUCGAAAGCGUGGGGAGCAAACAGGAUUAGAUACCCCCGUAGUCCCUGUCUCUUAUAC
This 301-nucleotide ribosomal RNA is filed under the name uncultured bacterium. Its description in RNAcentral is "partial 16S ribosomal RNA". It matches the Rfam family "Bacterial small subunit ribosomal RNA", at positions 509 to 807 of the family's 1533-position model. The record is from RNAcentral.